This 69-nucleotide transfer RNA is filed under the name Sphaerodactylus townsendi. Its description in RNAcentral is "tRNA-Ala". It matches the Rfam family "tRNA". From Rfam's summary of the family: Transfer RNA (tRNA) molecules are approximately 80 nucleotides in length. Their secondary structure includes four short double-helical elements and three loops (D, anti-codon, and T loops). The record is from RNAcentral. Lineage: Eukaryota; Metazoa; Chordata; Lepidosauria; Squamata; Sphaerodactylidae.
GCUGUGGCUCAGUGGUAGGGCAUCAGUUUUGCCUUCAGAAGACCCCAGGUUCGAUCCCCGGCAUCUCCA